RNAcentral lists this long non-coding RNA (1542 nucleotides) under Oryctolagus cuniculus (rabbit). RNAcentral describes it as "lncRNA (ENSOCUG00000036873.1)". Lineage: Eukaryota; Metazoa; Chordata; Mammalia; Lagomorpha; Leporidae. The record is from RNAcentral.
AUGCCGCACUCCUGCCCGAGGCACCGGCACCGUCGUCGGGGACGCAAGCAUUCCGGGAGCUGCUGUGUCCUCAGUGCAGGAUCGGAGUGGGUCCCGCCCCUGUCUCCACAGCCCUUGUCCCUGUCCACGCAGGAGGCUGGGCACCCCCUUCACCCGCUGUCGUCAGAGACGCCGGCUCGGCCCCGCCAGCCCUCCCAACCCCCAACCCCGCGCGGGGAGCUCAGGUCCAGGAACACACACCGCUGUCCCCCCAGCCUAGGCCGGGGGCCCCGGCCGCAGGGCAGUAGCCAGCCGCCACUUUACCGCCGCGCAGAGCCGCGCUGUGCCGGGCGCCACUACCAGCAAGGCCGUCUCCUCCCAGAAUGCCCCGCGGGACGCAGGGCCGACCCCGGAAGCUCCCUGGCCCUGAGUGUCUCCCAUUCCUUGGGUGUGCACCGUGAGGGGCACUCGGGUCCGCCGGGUCCCGCUCAGCCCUCCUCUCUUCCUUUCUCUGGAAGCUCACCUUGCGCCUGGUCUGCCCUCUCGAGCUGGUCUCCUUCCCCUCCCCGGUGAGAGGAGGUGAUGAGUAAGGGCUUCUACUGUGCAAUCAGAACUUGCAGAUUUUAAGGAAAGGACAACCAAUAAUUUAACUGGAAUCUUAAAAAAAAACAAAAACAAAAACAAAAAAAAACCAGACAGAUCCCUCCCAUCUAAUCAAUGCUCUGCACCUUUAAUUAUUAUCGUCCCAUCCCCUCCCCACGCUGAUCCGAGUUCCACCGUGUUAAAUGCCAGAGGAAGUGCUAGCAACCGGCCCGUGCCUGGCUUCUCUCAGCAGUGUCCUCUAGUUUGUCCAUGUUGUCACAAGUCACCAUUUUUCUUCCUUUUAAAAAAUGUUUAAUUUUCAUUUUUACUUAUUUGAGAGGCACAGAGACAGAGAUCUUCCACUGCUGGGUCACCCCACCAAAUAUGUGCAACAGCAAGAGGAGGCCAGUUCAAAGCCAGGAGACAAGGUCUCCAGCAGGGUUUCUCAUGUGAGUGCAGGGACCCAAGCACUUGGGCCAUCAUCUGCUGCCUCCCAGGCUCAUUAGCAGGGAGCUGGCAAGAAGCAGAGGAGGAGGUGGAACUCAAGAUUUCCUUCCUUUAAGGUUGAAUAAUAAUAAUUAAUGUGUUAUUUAGUCACCUGUCCGUGGGACCUUGAGAUGAUUCUGUAUCUUGGCUGUUAAAAACAGCAUUGCGGGGCCGGCACUGUGGUGUAGCGGGCAGAGCUGCUGCCUGCAGUGCUGGCAUCCCAUAUGGGCACCAGUUCAAAUCCUGGCUGCUACACUUCCGAUCCAACUCUCUGCUAUGGCCUGGGAAAGCAGUGGAAGAUGGCCCAAGUGCUUGGGCCCCUGCACCCAAGUGGGAGACCCGGAGGAGGCUCCUGGCUUCAGAUCAGCACAGCUCCAGCCAUUGCAGUCACCUGGAGAUUGGACCAGCAGAUGGAGGACCUCUCUUUCUCCGCCUCUGCUCUCUGUAACUCUGCCUUUCAUAUAAAUAAAUAAAUCUUUAAAGAGAGAGAGAACA